GAAUAUUGGACAAUGGGCGAAAGCCUGAUCCAGCAAUGCCGCGUGAGUGAUGAAGGCCUUCGGGUUGUAAAGCUCUUUUACCCGGGAUGAUAAUGACAGUACCGGGAGAAUAAGCCCCGGCUAACUUCGUGCCAGCAGCCGCGGUAAUACGAGGGGAGCUAGCGUUAUUCGGAAUUACUGGGCGUAAAGCGCACGUAGGCGGCUUUGUAAGUUAGAUGUGAAAGCCCAGAGCUCAACUCUGGAAUUGCCUUUAAGACUGCAUCGCUUGAAUCCAGGAGAGGUGAGUGGAAUUCCGAGUGUAGAGGUGAAAUUCGUAGAUAUUCGGAAGAACACCAGUGGCGAAGGCGGCUCACUGGACUGGUAUUGACGCUGAGGUGCGAAAGCGUGGGGAGCAAACAGG
Molecule: ribosomal RNA, 400 nt
Filed under: uncultured bacterium
Lineage: Bacteria
Description: bacterial SSU rRNA
Rfam family: Bacterial small subunit ribosomal RNA
Source: RNAcentral